Molecule: long non-coding RNA, 580 nt
Filed under: Marmota monax (woodchuck)
Lineage: Eukaryota; Metazoa; Chordata; Mammalia; Rodentia; Sciuridae
Source: RNAcentral
GAAAUUAUUCAGCAGACAUAAAAACGUCCUGAGUCUUUGUCCUCUAGCACUGAAGACAAAUUUUAUGUAUCUUUUAAAGUGGUUGUUUUUGAUGUGGUUGUUAUGUACGUGCAUUCAGGUAAAAAUAGGUAAUUAAAUGAUACCUAUUUUAUAGGCUUUAAUUGGCCUAUAUAUUUUUAAAGUAUUUUUUUAGUUGUAGAUGGACACAAUACCUUUAUUUAUUAUGUGGUGCUGAGGAUCAAACCCAGUGCCUCACAUGUGCAAGGCACGUGCUCUACCAGCGUCAUGGUCUGCUUAUUGAUAUACAUUUUUUUUCUUGUUUCUCCUGUAGCACAGUUGACUACUAGUUUGGUCCCUGAGGCAGAGGUCCUAUAGGGAUCACAUAGCAGAGUUUGCUGUGUAUAUUCCUUACUGGACAGUAAGGGUAGGUAGGAUCACUCAAUUUACAGUGGAAGUCAGUGGCAAAAUGAAGUUCAUAGGUAGAAAUUUACCAUAUAAAACACGUACAUUCUCUCUUCUAUCUGAGUAUGUAAAUACACAGAUAAAUAUGUAACAUAGUAGUUUAGGACAGGCCUGAAGA